This is a long non-coding RNA of Mus caroli (Ryukyu mouse), 525 nucleotides long. RefSeq lists it as uncharacterized. Lineage: Eukaryota; Metazoa; Chordata; Mammalia; Rodentia; Muridae. The record is from RefSeq and is a predicted model, not a curated record.
ACGGUGAGGCCCCAACAAGCUGCCUGGAGUCCUGAUGCUGCACAUCACAGCAGAGUGGAUACUUUCCUGUCCGGAGGAAGGGCUUGCAAAAGAGCCAAUGGAAAAGUAAUAGAGCUGAAAAUGUGGUUUUAAUUAUGGCGCUAAUGAAAACUGAAAAUCCAGACAGACACUUGACGAACUCUGCUGCGCGUUAUAUUACAUUUGUGCUAACUACAAAGUACCCAGCUGGAUGUAACAUUAUCCCCUCCCGAGCAUCCGCCUGACUGAAGCUGUAUAAUUGAUGUGGACUUUGGCAGGAGGUCAGCUUAAAGGUUCCCAAGCUGCAUGUGUUCCCUGGACUGUGGCCUCUCCAUCUUCAACGCCAGUGCAAGGACGUCCUCACGUCACUUUUUCUCUGAUCUCUGCAUUUGUGCCACAUUGUCUCUGAGUUUGAUACUUCUGCCUCUCAUCUGUAAAAACCUUUGUGGUUUUGUUGAGCCCACCCAGACAGCCUUAUCAGGCUUAGUUUAAUAAUUAAUAAAUGAU